This 707-nucleotide ribosomal RNA is filed under the name uncultured bacterium. RNAcentral's name for it is "bacterial SSU rRNA". It matches the Rfam family "Bacterial small subunit ribosomal RNA", at positions 55 to 755 of the family's 1533-position model. The record is from RNAcentral.
AUGCAGUCGAACGGCAGCACGGGAGCAAUCCUGGUGGCGAGUGGCGAACGGGUGAGUAAUAUAUCGGAACGUGCCCAGUCGUGGGGGAUAACGCAGCGAAAGCUGUGCUAAUACCGCAUACGAUCUCUGGAUGAAAGCGGGGGACUCGUAAGAGCCUCGCGCGAUUGGAGCGGCCGAUAUCAGAUUAGCUAGUUGGUGGGGUAAAGGCCCACCAAGGCGACGAUCUGUAGCUGGUCUGAGAGGACGACCAGCCACACUGGAACUGAGACACGGUCCAGACUCCUACGGGAGGCAGCAGUGGGGAAUUUUGGACAAUGGGCGCAAGCCUGAUCCAGCAAUGCCGCGUGCAGGAUGAAGGCCUUCGGGUCGUAAACUGCUUUUGUACGGAACGAAAAGGUCUGCCUUAAUACGGUGGGCCCAUGACGGUACCGUAAGAAUAAGCACCGGCUAACUACGUGCCAGCAGCCGCGGUAAUACGUAGGGUGCGAGCGUUAAUCGGAAUAACUGGGCGUAAAGCGUGCGCAGGCGGUUAUAUAAGACAGAUGUGAAAUCCCCGGGCUCAACCUGGGACCUGCAUUUGUGACUGUAUAGCUAGAGUACGGUAGAGGGGGGAUGGAAUUCCGCGUGUAGCAGUGAAAUGCGUAGAUAUGCGGAGGAACACCGAUGGCGAANGGCAUCCCCUGGACCUGUACUGACGCUCAUGCACG